AGUUUGAUUAUGGCUCAGAUUGAACGCUGGCGGGAUGCUUCACAUGCAAGUCGAACGGCAGCACGGACUUCGGUCUGGUGGCGAGUGCGGCGUAGAACGGGUGAGUAAUGUAUCGGAACGCCUAGUAGCGGGGAUAAUUCAUGAAGCAUUACCGUAUAUUGCCUCUUCGGGGGAAAGCGGACUUUCGGGCCCCGCACUAUUAGAGUGGCCGAUAUCGAUUAGCUAGUUGGUGGGGUAACGGCUCACCAAGGCGACGAUCCGUAGCUGGUUUGAGAGGGACGACCAGCCACACUGGGACUGAGACACGGCCCAGACUCCUACGGAGGCAGCAGUGGGGAAUUUGACAAUGGGGAAACUCCUGAUCCAGCCAUCCCGCGUGCGAUGAAGGCCUUCGGGUUGUAAAGCACUUUGGCAGGAAAAAAAGAAACGGUAUCGAUAAUACCCCGUGCAACUGACGGUACCUGCAGAAUAAGCACCGGCUGGUCCAUGUGCCAGCAGCCGCGGUAAUACGGGUGCAAGCGUUAAUCGGAAUUACUGGGCGUAAGCGCGUGCAGGCGGUUCGGAAAGAAAGAUGUGAAAUCCCAGAGCUUAACUUUGGAACUGCAUUUUUAACUACCGAGCUAGAGUGUGUCAGAGGGAGGUGGAAUUCCGCGUGUAGCAGUGAAAUGCGUAGAUAUGAGUGAACACCGAUGGUGAAGGCAGCCUGGGAUAACACUGACGCUCAUGCACGAAAGCGUGGGGAGCAACAGGAUUAGAUACAAUUUGUAGUCCACGCCCUAAACGAUGUCAACCAGCUGUUGGGGCCUUCGGGCCUUGGUAGCGCAGCUAACGCGUGAAGUUGACCGCCUGGGGAGUACGGUCGCAAGAUUAAAACUCAAAGGAAUUGACGGGGACCCGCACAAGCGGUGGAUGAUGUGGAUUAAUUCGAUGCAACGCGAAAAACCUUACCUACCCUUGACAUGUCUGGAAUCCCGAAGAGAUUUGGGAGUGCUCGCAAGAGAACCGGAACACAGGUGCUGCAUGGCUGUCGUCAGCUCGUGUCGAGAUGUUGGGUUAAGUCCCGCAACGAGCGCAACCCUUGUCAUUAGUUGCUACGAAAGGGCACUCCCCAUCGAGACUGCCGGUGACAAACCGGAGGUGGGGAUGACGUCAAGUCCUCAUGGCCCUUAUGGGUAGGGCUUCACACGUCAUACAAUGGUCGGGACAGAGGGUCGCCAACCCGCGAGGGGGAGCCAAUCCCAGAAACCCGAUCGUAGUCGGAUCGCAGUCUGCAACUCGACUGCGUGAAGUCGGAAUCGCUAGUGACCGCGGAUCAGCAUGUCGCGGUGAAUACGUUCCCGGGUCUUGUACACACCGCCCGUCACACCAUGGGAGUGGGUUUUACCAGAAGUAGUUAGCCUAACCGUAAGGAGGGCGAUUACCACGGUAGGAUUCAUGACUGGGGUGAAGUCGUAAAUAAGGUAG
Molecule: ribosomal RNA, 1464 nt
Filed under: uncultured Bordetella sp.
Lineage: Bacteria; Pseudomonadati; Pseudomonadota; Betaproteobacteria; Burkholderiales; Alcaligenaceae
Description: partial 16S-23S ribosomal RNA intergenic spacer
Rfam family: Bacterial small subunit ribosomal RNA
Source: RNAcentral